CGUGCUCCGGGCGUCGGCCUG
Molecule: small nuclear RNA, 21 nt
Filed under: Arabidopsis thaliana (thale cress)
Lineage: Eukaryota; Viridiplantae; Streptophyta; Magnoliopsida; Brassicales; Brassicaceae
Description: snRNA_16695
Source: RNAcentral